This 933-nucleotide ribosomal RNA is filed under the name Trichoplax adhaerens. RNAcentral's name for it is "partial 16S ribosomal RNA". It matches the Rfam family "Bacterial large subunit ribosomal RNA", at positions 1816 to 2523 of the family's 2925-position model. Lineage: Eukaryota; Metazoa; Placozoa; Uniplacotomia; Trichoplacea; Trichoplacidae. The record is from RNAcentral.
GUUUUCAGCAAUUAACGCAAAAGCUUAGUAUUGAAAAUGAUGCCUGCCCAAUGAUUGUAUCUGAAAGGAAAGAAAGGGGGGUGGCGCGCAGCANAAAGCCCCCCCUAAAAGUAUUUGGCUUUCUAUAAGGACAAUUGAAUGGCCGCGGUAACUCUGACCGUGAUAAUGUAGCGAAAUCACUAGCCAGUUAAUUGCUGGCCUGUAUGAAUGGCUUAACGAGGGCUCCACUGUCUCAAUAAUAAACCGGGUGAAAUUGGAAAAACGGUAAAGAUACCGUAAAGGAAUUCUAAGACGAGAAGACCCCAUUGAGCUUUACUAUUAACUUGUAUUGCCAAAGCAAAUAAAAGGGAACUCUCCCUUGCUUUAUAAUAAAAUUGAGUAGACUAAGUGGGAAAAAAGGGAUGUUAGUCCCCUUUUUAUGGCCGAUUCAUUGGAUUGGGCCCCCAAAAGAUACCUUUUGGGGCCAUUGGCGUANAGAGGGGGGAUCCGAUUUUCGGAUCGGCGCCGAAGGCGCCCAACCCUACUCGAUUUUUAUGAAAAACCACUCUUUUUAUUAGGAUUACUGGCUAAAACCGUACAAGUAAGGUAGUUUGGUUGGGGCGACCGCCUUCGAAAAAGUAUCGAAGGCGUACAUAAGAUUAAUCCGGGGGGGGUGUCCUUUUUUCACCCCCAAACAAACCGGGGGUAAUGCCCCAAAAAAGAUUAGUUUGACUGAGAGGGCUACAACCCGAACAGGCGCUUUUAGGUUGGGGCCCGGUUUUUACCAAGGGGCCUAAUUGACCAGCGGGCUCCUUUUUAGCCCGGGUCGAACCUAGCGGGUCAUAGUGAUCCGUUGUUAUAUUGUGGGAUAGACAACGAUCAACGAAGAAAAGUUACCAUGGGGAUAACAGCGUAAUAUCGUUUUAGAGUACCUAUCGCUGACGAUGUUUGCGA